GUGGGUAGUGCACUACCACGAUCGAGAUCGUCCGAGUGGUGUCUCAGGGCCCAAUAGUGUCUCUGGCAAUCAUUUGCUGUUGUACAAUUGGUUUUCGACCCAUACAUACGACAACCCCUCAGGGCUCGCACCCCACCAAUUGGGAUGCUUUUCGUGGUG
RNAcentral lists this unclassified non-coding RNA (159 nucleotides) under Mycobacterium intracellulare. RNAcentral describes it as "partial 16S-23S ribosomal RNA intergenic spacer". Lineage: Bacteria; Bacillati; Actinomycetota; Actinomycetes; Mycobacteriales; Mycobacteriaceae. The record is from RNAcentral.